AUGAUACCAAAGUGUGUAACAGCACUUCUGGCUUCUGCCAUCUGCUCACCUAGGAAGGACAAGACGGCAAAACAUAUUAAAGAAUCCUGUGCAACUGACUGUGGGUUCCCUUCAGUGAUCUUCACUGGUACAAAGAAUUAUUUUGCUUUGUGCUGUAGUUUCCAAUUUUGCAAUACUUUACGGUACUCCCAAGAGGUAAUAGAAAAUCAUACCAACAUCCCAAUAUCAGGCUUCACAGCUAGUCUCUUCUGGGCUUGCUUCAGGAUUAUACUGCAAUUUAUUGGGCUGGGAGAUUGAAACUACCCCCUCCCACCUCCUGCCCCCAAAUUUGAUCACGUUCCUUCAGUAAGAAUAGAAUCUCUUUCCUGCCUGGCUUUGUAAUUGGUCUCUCAAAAUCCCAUGGUUAAAUAUGGUGAUAUUUGAUAAAUAUGGUAAAAAUUGUUGUAUGGGAGUUUCUCCCUAUAAUUCAGCAUCUCUUAAUGGCUGGACUUUGGAAGUGAUUCCUUGAGAAAACUUUUUAAAAAGGGUACUGGUUCUCACCCAACUUCAACACAGACUGACACUAUAUGAUACUGGGCAAAAUCACCAACCUUUAGCUUUUCCAUCUGAGAAAUAGGGAAAGCAGGGGCUUCUCAUACUUUGGGAACUUCUGGGAAACUUCAAGAUGAAAUCAGAGAAUCAAUUCUGAGAUCUCAUCCAUUAGGAACAUAUUCUCUGGGAACUUUAGGUCACAGGCUAAUCCUUUUGAGACCUUGAAGUUUAAUAAUAAUCAUAGACAUUUUUCUAGGUCUUUCUUCACAAUAGCCUUGAGAAAGCUGAGAGUACAAUGUGCAUUAAUCUUGGUUUUUUUUGGGGUGGGGGGAGGAAGAAACUGAGACUUAGAGGAAUAAAAUGACUGUCUAGAGACUGCCCAGAAAACUGGAAUUCCAUCCUGGGUCCCUAAUCAUCAAUUUCAAUGUUUUGCCUCUAUAUCCUCUGCCAGUAACCCGUCCUUUGUAAUGUGUUUAUGUGUUUUGUUUUAUUUAUUAUUAUUAUUAUUUUAUCUUCUUUGAACUUUUGUUUUCUGAGGAAAGUGCUGGUGAAAAGUCUUGGACAGACACUGAUUAAAUUUUUCUUUACCACUAUGUACUUCUUUCUUCCUCCACUUCUUCACUGUGGUGGUCUAAUCACAUUGCACAUCCCCUGGUAAUUCUCUUUGUCUUCUCUUUCCCAUGGGGCCUGUAAGAUUUGGUUAUUGUCUUUAUUCUUCAAACAAUCGCCUAAAAUAAAAUACUUUGCUUUUCAAUUAAUCAAUUAACAAAGUUGUUGUUGUUGUUGUUUUUUUAAAUCACCUACUAUGUGCCAGGCACUAGAAAAGGUAAGAGAAGUACAAGUACAAAGCCUAAAUUUCUCUAUUCUACUCUCCAAGUUCCUACACUCAUUGGGGGAGACAAUAAGCACAUAUAUAAGAAUAUACAGAGUAAAUAAGGACAGCUAGGUUGCACAGAUGGAUAGAGGAGUGGAGUCAGGAAGUCUCAUCUUCCUUAAUUCGAAUCCUGCCUCAGACACUUCCUGGCUGAGUGACCCUGGGCAAGCCACUUACCCCUGAGUAUCUCUGCUAAGAAAAUUCUAAAUAGUUCAAGAAGAGUUGGAUAUGAUUAAAGCAACUAAACAACAAUGGAAUAAUGAAAAGGGAAUAAAUGAAAAAUAGCUAAGGUACAAGGUGUUUGGGGAAGGAAGGCGCUAGCAGUUGGGGGAAUCAGGGAAGGUUUCUUGGAGAAGAUAGUGCUAAAGCUGCAUCUUAAAGCAAGAAAGGAAUUCCAAGCAGUGCAGGUGAGGAGGGAAUGCUUCCAAGUGCAGGAGAAGACCUGCACAGAAGUGGGGGUUUUUAAAGGAUUAUUUCUUGCUGAAUGGAAUGGAGUAGUUGGGGAGAACUUCAUGAAGUUACCUCCUCUUCCCUCUCACAGGAAAACUUAGGUGAUAUAGUAGCAAGACCAUUAUUACCUGAUAAGAGGAAGUAGUCUUCUAUUAUUUGGAGUUCCCUCUCAUGCUUCAGUUUGUCAAUGUCCCUCCUACAAUAUAGUGCCAAGAUUAGAAAUAAUAAU
This is a long non-coding RNA of Sarcophilus harrisii (Tasmanian devil), 2084 nucleotides long. The record is from Ensembl. NCBI's taxonomy places the organism in Eukaryota, Metazoa, Chordata, Mammalia, Dasyuromorphia, Dasyuridae.